RNAcentral lists this ribosomal RNA (422 nucleotides) under uncultured eukaryote. RNAcentral describes it as "SSU rRNA". It matches the Rfam family "Eukaryotic small subunit ribosomal RNA", at positions 592 to 1018 of the family's 1831-position model. The record is from RNAcentral.
CAAUAACGUAUAUUAAAGUUGUCGCGGUUAAAAAGCUCGUAGUUGGAUUUCUGCCGAGGACGACCGGUCCGCCCUCUGGGUGAGUAUCUGGCUCGGCCUGGGCAUCUUCUUGGAGAACGUAGCUGCCCUUGACUGUGUGGUGCGGUAUCCUGGACUUUUACUUUGAGGAAAUUAAAGUGUUUCAAGCAGGCACACGCCUUGAAUACAUUAGCAUGGAAUAAUAAGAUAGGACCUCGGUUCUAUUUUGUUGGUUUCUAGAGCUGAGGUAAUGAUUAAUAGGGAUAGUUGGGGGCAUUCGUAUUUAACUGUCAGAAAUGAAAUUCUUGGAUUUGUUAAAGACGGACUACUGCGAAAGCAUUUGCCAAGGGUGUUUUCAUUGAUCAAGAACGAAAGUUAGGGGAUCGAAGACGAUUAGAUACCAU